Nothoprocta perdicaria is the source of this 206-nucleotide long non-coding RNA. RefSeq lists it as uncharacterized. The transcript is spliced from 3 exons. The record is from RefSeq and is a predicted model, not a curated record. Lineage: Eukaryota; Metazoa; Chordata; Aves; Tinamiformes; Tinamidae.
AGAGCUGUGCCGCUGCAUGGUGCUGCAGGCCCAAAUGUGCCCCGAGGAGACAAUCGUCUUCCUGUACUUCAMAYUGAGGAACGGGAGCAAGGCCGAUCGUGUGGCAGCCGUGGCAGUGCUGCAGGCUCUGGUCAGCUCUGAUGUGCCUGAGGUGCGGGAGAAGCUGGCCGUGUUUGCAAAAGUGGCCGAGUCCGUGUGCCAUGACC